UGCAUAAUGAGAGCAAGUACAGCCGGGUUUGUAGCUCAGCGGCACGAGCGCCGGCCUGGCAAGCGCAGGGUCCUGAGAACGAUUCCUGGUCCGAAAAAGACCACUAACACCAAACAAGUGCAGUCACGUCCCACGGACACAGCGUCAGCCACCAGUGUGAGUGCGCUCCUGCCAGUGCUGUGCAGAGCGCCGGUCCCUUGGGCUUGGUGCACCCCGCGGGCCAGCGCGCCCCAGAGCCACUCGGUUCAUGGGGGCGGUGGGGCCCAUACCGGGCGAGGGCGGGGGCGGGCCCGGCAGGGGACUCAGGGCCGGGGCGGGGAGGGCGCCUCGCCUCCCUUGGCCGUGUUUUUUUUUCCUUCCUUUCUGCCCAGCCCGGAGGAGAUGGAACCUGCCGCCCACGUCCCUUGGGGAGAAGCUGGUGAGUAAUUCAUCGUCUCCAGAAAGUCGCAUGGGAGCCUGGCAGGUGGCCGAGCGGCACAGGUGGGACGCUGAGCUUGCAGGGACGGCGCCAAGUGUAGGUCCCUUUCCUCCCGGUCCAGGGGAGGUCACGCCGUGUGGUCCUCCCCAGUAACUAGCUCCCGUGGGCGAGGGGCCUGCAUGGGGUCGAGCCAGGAGCUGGAUUACAGAGCGCUGCUUCCCCCUCCCUGACACACAGAAAGCACGGAACGGUUCUGGUGGCAUAUGCCUGUCAUCCCAACCUGUAGGAGGCUGAGGCAGGAGGAUUGCUGCGAGUUUGAGGCUAGCCUGGUCUCCCUUGUGAGUUUAGAGCCAUCCUGGAGUACGUAGUGAGACCCUGCCUCACAAAAACAAUGCAGAAACAUGGAUGAAUUGUGUGUUUCCUCAUCUUAGAGUGUUCACCUUUCCUGUUUCAGCCUCCCGCUCGCUGAGGGCCCUCGCAGUCCUGCCGGCUGCCCUGGCUCAGUUAUCACAGUGCUGAUGCUGUCCGCUCUAAAGGCAGGGGCUUGCCGUGCAGUACAAGCUAGGCUGGAAUUCGCAGUGGAGCCCAGGCCGGCCUCGAAGCUGAGGUGAUCCUCCUGCCUCGACCUCACCAGCGCUGGGGGUACCCGUGCACUCUGUCGUGUUCUGUGACGUGGGUGUGAGACUCGGUGAUACGUUGGCAGCGUGAAGACGAUGGUGCCAGGCCAGCACGGAAGGGUCAGGAAGCCGCGAGUCUUCAGGGGUCAGUGCUGGGGACCAGGUGUGCAUCAGCGGCUGGCCAUGGUGGGCACACCUGCAGUCCCAGCACCAGGGAGGCUGAGGCAGGAGGGUCUCUGUGAGUGCAAGGCCAGCGUGGGCUAAAAGGCGAGGCCGUGUUGCAGGUGAGUGAGGGCUCCAGGGUCUGCUGUCCCCGAAGUGUGACGGCGAGCUGUCAGCACACCUGCACGUGUCACCCCACUUCUCACCCUGCGCAGGGCAGGCGGGUGGAGGAGAGCCCUCUGGUGACCAGUGCCGAUGGUGCUGCAGGAGUAAAUUCAUCUCCGCACGUGAGGGUCAGACACCGACUGUCUCGUCUCUCCUGAGAGGUUUACAGCCCAGUCUGGUUCCAGAGUUGUUUAUCAUUGUUGCAGCUAUUGUCACCUUUUGUAUGAAAAUAAAGUGUAAAGUUGUUUGUCACAU
Molecule: long non-coding RNA, 1617 nt
Organism: Chinchilla lanigera (long-tailed chinchilla)
Lineage: Eukaryota; Metazoa; Chordata; Mammalia; Rodentia; Chinchillidae
Exons: 2
Source: RefSeq, a predicted model, not a curated record